RNAcentral lists this long non-coding RNA (225 nucleotides) under Elaeis guineensis (African oil palm). RNAcentral describes it as "long non-coding RNA (EGUI_LNC038919)". Lineage: Eukaryota; Viridiplantae; Streptophyta; Magnoliopsida; Arecales; Arecaceae. The record is from RNAcentral.
AUACUUCAGCCAUAGGGAGCCUCACAUAUGCCAUGCUUGAAGGAAAGGGAAACUAUUUUUCUUCGGAUAGCCCAAGUUGUAUCUAAAAUUUUUUUAUAAAUCUACAUGAAUAAGAAUCAAAUCUCUAUCUGAAUAACAGUGAAACUGAAGAUCAAAUCUUCAAAAAUUUAAAAUCAACCUUCGUAAAGGCCUGAAAGUGCAGACCUUCUACUUCACAUGCACGUC